GACGAACGCUGGCGGCGUGCUUAACACAUGCAAGUCGAACGUGAUUUUUGUGGAAAUUCUUUCGGGAAUGGAAAUGAAAUGAAAGUGGCGAACGGGUGAGUAACACGUGAGCAACCUACCUUACACAGGGGGAUAGCCGUUGGAAACGACGAUUAAUACCGCAUGAGACCACAGAAUCGCAUGAUAUAGGGGUCAAAGAUUUAUCGGUGUAAGAAGGGCUCGCGUCUGAUUAGCUAGUUGGAAGGGUAAAGGCCUACCAAGGCGACGAUCAGUAGCCGGUCUGAGAGGAUGAGCGGCCACAUUGGAACUGAGACACGGUCCAAACUCCUACGGGAGGCAGCAGUGGGGAAUAUUGCAAAAUGGGGGGAACCCUGAUGCAGCGACGCCGCGUGAGCGAAGAAGGUUUUCGAAUCGUAAAGCUCUGUCCUAUGAGAAGAUAAUGACGGUAUCAUAGGAGGAAGCCCCGGCUAAAUACGUG
RNAcentral lists this ribosomal RNA (478 nucleotides) under uncultured bacterium. RNAcentral's name for it is "partial 16S ribosomal RNA". It matches the Rfam family "Bacterial small subunit ribosomal RNA", at positions 28 to 507 of the family's 1533-position model. The record is from RNAcentral.